UGGGGAAUAUUGCACAAUGGGCGCAAGCCUGAUGCAGCGACGCCGCGUGGGGGAUGACGGCCUUCGGGUUGUAAACUCCUUUCGCUAGGGACGAAGCUGUUUGUGACGGUACCUAGAUAAGAAGCACCGGCUAACUACGUGCCAGCAGCCGCGGUAAUACGUAGGGUGCGAGCGUUGUCCGGAAUUACUGGGCGUAAAGGGCUCGUAGGUGGUUUGUCGCGUCGUCUGUGAAAUUCCGGGGCUUAACUCCGGGCGUGCAGGCGAUACGGGCAUAACUUGAGUACUUUAGGGGUAACUGGAAUUCCUGGUGUAGCGGUGAAAUGCGCAGAUAUCAGGAGGAACACCGAUGGCGAAGGCAGGUUACUGGGCAGUUACUGACGCUGAGGAGCGAAAGCAUGGGUAGCGAACAGG
Molecule: ribosomal RNA, 411 nt
Filed under: Actinomycetes bacterium
Lineage: Bacteria; Bacillati; Actinomycetota; Actinomycetes
Description: Actinobacteria bacterium partial 16S ribosomal RNA
Rfam family: Bacterial small subunit ribosomal RNA
Source: RNAcentral